GGUGGUCGAGGGAAUCUGAGAAGGCGCACAAGGUUUGUGUCCAAUACAGUCCAUACCUUGCGCUACUCAGGUCUGCUCGUGCCCU
Molecule: microRNA precursor, 85 nt
Filed under: Rhinopithecus roxellana (golden snub-nosed monkey)
Lineage: Eukaryota; Metazoa; Chordata; Mammalia; Primates; Cercopithecidae
Description: miRNA (ENSRROG00000013559.1)
Rfam family: mir-3200 microRNA precursor family
Source: RNAcentral